Molecule: long non-coding RNA, 301 nt
Organism: Ceratina calcarata
Lineage: Eukaryota; Metazoa; Arthropoda; Insecta; Hymenoptera; Apidae
Exons: 2
Source: RefSeq, a predicted model, not a curated record
AAAACGCGAACGACACGAUUGUUUAUAAUCAUAAUGGCACCGAAUCUGCUUCUGAAGAACAAAACAUGUGCCGAUUCGGUGACCUAAAACUGCACAUUGGUAAUGAGUUGACCCAUGAUUCAAACUGCGUAAAAUGCACAUGCGAAGUACCGCCGAUACCUACGUGUUUACAAUCAUCAGAUAGUGAAUGUCAUUAAUAAUAUGUAAUACGAGUCACACGUGUAAUUCUCGUAAUGUUACUUCUGUUCCUUAGUUUCGAAUGAAACUGUUGGCAUUUAUGAAUAAUAGAUAUUUAUUGAAU